CCUACGGGUGGCAGCAGUGGGGAAUAUUGGACAAUGGGCGAAAGCCUGAUCCAGCCAUGCCGCGUGUGUGAAGAAGGCCUUCGGGUUGUAAAGCACUUUCAGUGGGGAAGAAAGCCUUGGGGCUAAUACCCUCGAGGAAGGACAUCACCCACAGAAGAAGCACCGGCUAACUCCGUGCCAGCAGCCGCGGUAAUACGGAGGGUGCGAGCGUUAAUCGGAAUUACUGGGCGUAAAGCGCGCGUAGGCGGUCUGAUAAGCCGGUUGUGAAAGCCCCGGGCUCAACCUGGGAACGGCAUCCGGAACUGUCAGGCUAGAGUGCAGGAGAGGAAGGUACAAUUCCCGGUGUAGCGGUGAAAUGCGUAGAGAUCGGGAGGAAUACCAGUGGCGAAGGCGGCCUUCUGGACUGACACUGACGCUGAGGUGCGAAAGCGUGGGUAGCAAACAGGAUUAGAUACCCUAGUAGUC
Molecule: ribosomal RNA, 465 nt
Filed under: Vreelandella stevensii
Lineage: Bacteria; Pseudomonadati; Pseudomonadota; Gammaproteobacteria; Oceanospirillales; Halomonadaceae
Description: partial 16S ribosomal RNA
Rfam family: Bacterial small subunit ribosomal RNA
Source: RNAcentral